This 161-nucleotide unclassified non-coding RNA is filed under the name uncultured fungus. RNAcentral's name for it is "sequence contains ITS1, 5.8S rRNA gene". Lineage: Eukaryota; Fungi. The record is from RNAcentral.
CAGAGAACGUGCCCUCUGGGUACAUCUCCCACCCUGUGUCUACCUUACCUCGUUGCUUUGGCGGGCCCGUCUCGCGACCACCGGCCCCGGCUGGUCUGCGCCCGCCAGAGGACCACAAACUCUGAUUAUCUUGCUGUCUGAGUUACCAUAUAAAUACGUUA